UACGUAGGGGGCAAGCGUUAUCCGGAUUUACUGGGUGUAAAGGGGGCGCAGACGGCGAUGCAAGCCAGGAGUGAAAGCCCGGGGCCCAACCCCGGGACUGCUCUUGGAACUGCGUGGCUGGAGUGCAGGAGGGGCAGGCGGAAUUCCUGGUGUAGCGGUGAAAUGCGUAAAUAUCAGGAGGAACACCGGUGGCGAAGGCGGCCUGCUGGACUGCAACUGACGUUGAGGCCCGAAAGCGUGGGGAGCAAACAGG
RNAcentral lists this ribosomal RNA (253 nucleotides) under uncultured bacterium. RNAcentral describes it as "partial 16S ribosomal RNA". It matches the Rfam family "Bacterial small subunit ribosomal RNA", at positions 524 to 776 of the family's 1533-position model. The record is from RNAcentral.